RNAcentral lists this ribosomal RNA (801 nucleotides) under uncultured bacterium. RNAcentral describes it as "bacterial SSU rRNA". It matches the Rfam family "Bacterial small subunit ribosomal RNA", at positions 65 to 869 of the family's 1533-position model. The record is from RNAcentral.
AGCGAGAAAGGGGACUUCGGUUCCCGAGUACAGCGGCGCACGGGUGAGUAACACGUGGGUAAUCUGCCUCGGAGUGGGGAAUAACACCGGGAAACCGGUGCUAAUACCGCAUACGACCACAGAGUCUUCGGACUUUGUGAUGAAAGACUUCGGUCGCUCUGAGAGGAGCCCGCGCCCAAUUAGCUAGUUGGUGAGGUAAUGGCUCACCAAGGCAACGAUUGGUAGCCGGUCUGAGAGGACGGUCGGCCACACUGGAACUGAGACACGGUCCAGACUCCUACGGGAGGCAGCAGUGGGGAAUUUUUGACAAUGGGGGAAACCCUGAUCAAGCAACGCCGCGUGGAUGAUGAAGUAUCUCGGUACGUAAAAUCCUUUCGACAGGGAAGAAGCUCUUCGGAGUUGACGGUACCUGUAGAAGAAGCCCCGGCUAACUCCGUGCCAGCAGCCGCGGUAAUACGGGGGGGGCAAGCGUUGUUCGGAUUUACUGGGCGUAAAGGGCGCGUAGGCGGUUUGUUAAGUCGGAUGUGAAAACUGUGGGCUCAACCCAUAGCCUGCAUCCGAUACUGGCAGACUAGAGUGCGAGAGGGGAAGGCGGAAUUCCUGGUGUAGCGGUGAAAUGCGUAGAUAUCAGGAGGAACACCGGCGGCGAAGGCGGCCUUCUGGAUCGCAACUGACGCUGAGGCGCGAAAGCUAGGGGAGCAAACAGGAUUAGAUACCCUGGUAGUCCUAGCCCUAAACGAUGGAUACUUGGUGUGGGGGGAGUUGAAUUCCUCCGUGCCGGAGCUAACGCGUUAAGUAUCC